AUAAAGUUCAAUAAAGUUGUUGCGAUACGAACGGCGGUAGCCAUUGUUCCAAAAUUUGUCUAUUUGUUUAAUUUACAAUAACGUGAAGGUGACUUUAGGGUAGUUUGACCGCAUUAGUGGUAUCGUGAAACUUCCUAUUUUCUUGUGGACUUUAAGGCGACCGUCUCAACCGAAAUAGAAAUGAAUCCCGAGUAUGAUUAUUUAUUUAAACUGUUGCUGAUUGGGGAUUCAGGAGUAGGAAAGUCAUGUUUACUGCUUAGGUUUGCAGAUGAUACUUAUACAGAAAGUUACAUUAGUACAAUUGGAGUAGAUUUUAAAAUCAGAACAAUAGAUUUAGAUGGAAAAACCAUUAAACUACAAAUCUGGGACACUGCUGGCCAGGAAAGAUUCAGAACUAUCACAUCGAGUUAUUAUAGAGGUGCGCAUGGUAUAAUUGUCGUCUAUGAUUGUACAGACCAAGAUACAUUCAACAAUGUAAAACAAUGGUUGGAGGAAAUUGAUCGUUAUGCAUGCGAUAAUGUUAAUAAGCUUCUUGUCGGCAACAAAAGUGAUUUAACCACGAAAAAAGUCGUCGAUUACACCACAGCCAAGGAAUAUGCAGAUCAAUUGGGAAUACCAUUUUUGGAAACAUCGGCGAAAAGCGCAACGAAUGUGGAACAAGCUUUCCUUACCAUGGCGGCGGAAAUUAAAAACAGGGUGGGCCCGCCAUCAUCCGCGGUUGAUCAGGCGAGCAAAGUGAAGAUUGAUCAAGGUCGCCCAAUUGAGAGCACCAAGUCGGGUUGCUGCUGAAGAAGCUUUGCUCCCGAAAAAAGCUUCUCCGGUCGGCGCACGUACGUUUAGAUGUGGGUGCGGAUGUCAAACAUAAAAUUUCUUAUUUUGUACCAGGUCCAUCUUGGACAAACAUCUAUAUUAUUAUCAAAAACUAAAAAAAAAUAUGAAUAUAAUAAUCCGUCUAUGUAUAGUAAAUUUAUUUCGUUUUACGUUUUAGAACCCAUUAAGUUGCCCUAAAAAAUUACUCUCUUUUAGUGAGACCUUGAAUACGUUUUGUAAUUAAAUAAUUUAUGCACAUUUGUGUAUAUUAAAUCCAAAACUGAAAAAGUUUGUAAAAAACCCCUUUAUUUCUGUCCAAUUGUGUUUACAUCUUUUGUAAUUUAUUAUUUUCUCGUUUUCGUUUACUAACAGUUAAAUUCCACGUUUCAUAUUAUUUUCUAUAAUUUUAGUUAAUUUAAAAAAUACAUGGUGGGGUUAUUAGGAAAAUUCGAACGGUCUUUUCUCUCGCGCGUUCCCUUAGGAUCAUUUUUUUUGUUUUCCCUUAAAUCUCGGUAGUUUUUGCACUUUGAUCUGACGCGCACUUGUAGGAGUUCAGUUUGUGUAACAUAUUUCCAAAAAUACUAAUAAUUACAAUUAAAACUGAUAACGUUUCCGAUUUUUAGAGUGAUUGAAAUAAAGAAACGUGCAACCGA
This is an RNA transcript of Onthophagus taurus, 1463 nucleotides long. It is a transcript of the gene named RAS oncogene family member Rab1, with no coding region annotated. The record is from RefSeq and is a predicted model, not a curated record. NCBI's taxonomy places the organism in Eukaryota, Metazoa, Arthropoda, Insecta, Coleoptera, Scarabaeidae.